RNAcentral lists this ribosomal RNA (427 nucleotides) under uncultured bacterium. RNAcentral describes it as "partial 16S ribosomal RNA". It matches the Rfam family "Bacterial small subunit ribosomal RNA", at positions 355 to 774 of the family's 1533-position model. The record is from RNAcentral.
UGGGGAAUAUUGCACAAUGGGCGCAAGCCUGAUGCAGCCAUGCUGCGUGUAUGAAGAAGGCCUUCGGGUUGUAAAGUACUUUCAGCGGGGAGGAAGGCGAUAAGGUUAAUAACCUUGUCGAUUGACGUUACCCGCAGAAGAAGCACCGGCUAACUCCGUGCCAGCAGCCGCGGUAAUACGGAGGGUGCAAGCGUUAAUCGGAAUUACUGGGCGUAAAGCGCACGCAGGCGGUCUGUCAAGUCGGAUGUGAAAUCCCCGGGCUCAACCUGGGAACUGCAUUCGAAACUGGCAGGCUAGAGUCUUGUAGAGGGGGGUAGAAUUCCAGGUGUAGCGGUGAAAUGCGUAGAGAUCUGGAGGAAUACCGGUGGCGAAGGCGGCCCCCUGGACAAAGACUGACGCUCAGGUGCGAAAGCGUGGGGAGCAAACA